UUUGGGGGUGGGGACCCCAGUGUGGGGUUAUGGGGGAGAUGCUCCCAUUGGGAUGUUCCUAUAUGGGAUGUUCCUAUAUGGGAUGUCCCUAUAUGGGAUGCUCCCAUUGGGAUGUUCCUAUAUGGGAUGUCCCUAUAUGGGAUGCUCCCAUUGGGAUGUUCCUAUAUGGGAUCCCCCCCAUCCCCACAGUGACUCCCCGGUGCCCCGUGAGCGCCCCCCAUGCCCGGUGCUGAUCCUAUGGGGUGGCUGUGACCCCUUCCUGGACCCCCGGCUGGCCCCAUACCUACAACAUCGUAUGGCCCCCAGUGCCCAGCUCCACAUCAUCCCCCACGCGGGGCAUUGGCUGCCCGAGGAUCACCCCGAUGUCGUCAAUGGACUCUUAUGGGAUUUCCUGGGGGGCAGAGAGUGAGAAUGGAGGCGUCAGCCCAACCCCAUAGUGAGGAUGGGGCCCUCCCGGGGUCUGUGGGGCGGUGGGGGGACUGAUAUUGGGGUGGGGGUAAUAGAUCCCAAUGGGCAGCCCAGUAUUGGGGUGGGAGUUGCCAUGUUGGGAUGGAGACCUUGGGAUUGGGAUGGGAGGGUUGAGAUCCCAAUGGGGACCCCAGUAUUGGGGUCAGGAUCACCAUGUUGGGAUGGAGACCUUGGUAUUGGGAUGGGGACCCCAGUAUUGGGAUGGGGACCCCAAUAUGGGGAUGGGAGGGCUGAGAUCCCAAUGGGGAGCCCGGUAUUGGGGUGGGGGCUGCCAUGUUGGGAUGGAGACAUUGAGAUCCUAUGGGGACCCCAUGAUUGGGAUGGGGACCCCAAUAUGGGGGUGGGAGGGUUGAGAUCCCAAUGGGGACCCCAACAUUGGGGUGGGGGCUGCCAUUUUGAGAUGGGAACAUUGAGGUCCUAUGGGGACCCCAAUAUGGGGAUGGGAGGGUUGAGAUCCCAAUGGGGACCCCAGUAUUGGGGUCAGGAUCACCAUGUUGGGAUGGAGACCUCGGUAUUGGGAUGGGGACGUUCAGAUCCCAAUAGGGACCCCAACAUUGGGAUGGGGACCCCAAUAUGGGGAUGGGAGGGCUGAGAUCCCAAUGGGGACCCCAACAUUGGGGUCAGGAUCGCUAUGUUCGUACAGGGGCAUUGAGAUCCCAAUAGGGACCCCAUUAUUGGGGUGGGAAUCACCAUGUUGGGAUGGAGACCCCAAUGUUGGGAUGGAGACCUCAGUAUGGGGUUGGGGACCCCAGUAUUGGGAUGGGGACAUUGAGAUCCCAAUGGGGACCCCAACAUUGGGGUUGAGAUACCGGUGUUGGGGUGGGGGUCCCAGUGUUGGGAUGGGGACAUUGAGAUCCUAAUGGAGACCCCAUCAUUAGGGUUGGGGUCAUUGGGAUUCUUGUAGGGACUCCAUUAUUUUAUAGCAAAUAAUCAUAUAUAUAUAUAUAUAUAUGUAUACAAAACAUAUAUAUUUUAAUGAUUGUAAUUAAUUUGUAAAUUAAUUAAUUAAAAUUGGACAGCAAUGCACAUACAUGGACCCUCCCCCGUCCCCCAUUGAUCCCCAUUAACCCCCAUUAUCCCCAUUGAUCCCCAUUAAACCCCAUUUAUCCCCAUUGAUCCCCAUUGUCCCCCAUUGUCCCCUAUUGAUCCCCAUUGAUCCCAUUGAUCCCAUUGUCCCCAUUGACCCCAUUAUCCCCUAUUGAUCCCCAUUGAUCCCCAUUGUCCCCAGUGUCCCCCAUUGUCUCCAUUGAUCCCCAUUGAUCCCCACAGUCCCCCCCCGACCCCAAUGUCCCCCAUUGACCCCCAUUGGCCCCACUGAUCCCCAUUGAACCCAUUAUCCCCCACCGACCCCAUUGAUCCCCAUUGGCCCCCAUUGGCCCCCAUUGGCCCCCAUUGGCCCCAUUGAUCCCCACUGACCCCAUUGAUCCCCAUUGUCCCCCAUUGACCCCACUGACCUUAUUAUCCCCCAUUAUCCCCAAUGUCCCCCAUUGUCCCCCAUUAUCCCUAUUGAUCCCCAUUUGAAUCCGAUGUCUCCCAUGUCCCCCAUUGAUCCCGAUUUGAUCCAUUGACACUCUAUGAUCCCA
This is a long non-coding RNA of Coturnix japonica (Japanese quail), 2051 nucleotides long. NCBI's taxonomy places the organism in Eukaryota, Metazoa, Chordata, Aves, Galliformes, Phasianidae. The record is from Ensembl.